RNAcentral lists this long non-coding RNA (8111 nucleotides) under Medicago truncatula (barrel medic). RNAcentral's name for it is "long non-coding RNA (MTRU_LNC005481)". Lineage: Eukaryota; Viridiplantae; Streptophyta; Magnoliopsida; Fabales; Fabaceae. The record is from RNAcentral.
UAGUGUUUCAACCUAGGGAUGAGAAUUUGUUUAAUUUGAUGUUCCGACCUGGGUGCACCAAAACAAGAAUUUAACAUGAUCCAUAAUGAAAUAGUUGUUCUCAUCCCUAGGUCGGAACACCGAAUUAUUGUCUGCCUUUCAAAUGGUCCACACACAUGCAAGCCAUAUCUCCCAUAGAUAAAUUAUAACUUUCCCACCCUUACACUUUUGUUAGAAUUUUAUUAAUGAUGACAAGGUUCCGAAAAGCUAUCCUCUCCUGAUAUUUCCAUCAAUAUAUUCAAAUGUAGUUUGGCCCCAUCUGUAGUUAAGCACUAGUUGGUUCGUCCAACUAAGUUUGAUUCACAUUGACUCCAACCAAAAAAGCUUUGUGGAAGAUCACUUUUAAACCAUGUCAUCUCAAAAAGAAGUACACUCGCUUUGAGAGCUCUAAUGUUCGCCCAAGACUUCUCUUCCUCCAAACUCAUAUCAUCAACAAAUUGCUUGUGUUAAUUUGAACUCAUCAUUAUUUUCAACCUGAACUUUAUCAAUACACGUCAAAAGUAGAGAAUAGAUACAUUCAACAAUAAGCAAAAAUAAAAUAAAAAAUGUUAGAGGGAUCACCUUACCUCAACCCCCACCCCAUUUUAUAUUCUUUUUUUAGGUUUCCAUUAACAAGAAUUGUAACAUUGAUUGUGCCAAAACACUCCAUGAUUCAUCAUCUCCAUUUAUAAGAAAAUAAAAAAUAAAAAUCCCAUUUUCGUCACCACAAAGUCUACAUAUGGGAUACAUAGAGCAAAAAUUUAUAUAUAUCGCCCUUGAAGUGGUAUAAUAACUCACAAACACUAAAUACACUCCAUAUGUUUUUUUUUUACAAGACCCUAUAAUAACUAGUUAUAAUUAUAAAUUUGUAAAAAUAGUUUAACUUUCAUGUCUUGUUUACAAAUCACAACCAAUCAUGACGACCUUAAAAAGCGGUUAUAAUAAAAGUCAAAACGUUCUCUAAAAAAAAAAAAAAGUCAAAAUAUUUUUUAGUGAUCUAACCAUUGUGUGAAUUACAAGUGUAAAAAUUCUUACACAAGAAUGAAAUCUUCGUGAAAUAUGUUACUUUUCCAUAAUCACCUCUACAAUUAAUUAUAUCAUAUUCAUAGGAAAUAAAUUAACGUUUUUCAAUUGUAAAUUAUAUAUGAAUAUUAUUGUAAAGAAAUUAUUAAUACAUUUAAAAGUUUUGUAAAAAAUAUUUUUGUAAAGAGACAGAAAUAUGAAAAGAUGGUCUUAUAAUUAUUGAGUGAGGAAGUGGUCUUUCUAAACAUAAUUAAUUGUCUAACAAAGGAAAUCAACUAGAAUAUAUAUUCACCAAAAAGCCAUAAUAAAAUAUGUAAUAAUUAGUUAAACAACUAAUAAUCACUUGAGAACCAAAUUCACAAGAUAAUAAUAUAAUUAUAUAUUACAUAUUCAAACUUUUUUAAUCCAUCAUUAUGUUUUAGGAUAAAAGGGUAAAGUAAUAAUAACAAUAACCACUGUUGUUAUAAAUCACUUGACGAAUUGCCAGUUUUCUAUAACCGGAACAGAUAAUAAUAAUAUUUAGAUGAUCAAGAUAAAUUAUAUACAUAGCAAUAUUAAGUAAUGAUAUUAAAGUGAAGAGUAUAGAUAACAUACCAAGUAGUAGUAUGAACUUUCGAUAGAAAUGAUCGUGUUGAUAACAUGUUAAAGAUUUAGAUAUUUAAAUACUUAUUUAUGAUGUUAGUGAACUAAUAAGAUGAUAUAAAAUACUACUUCAAUUUAUAAUACUUCAAAUAAUAUAUAACACUAUGAUUUAUCAAACUAAGGAAAUCAAGAGAGAAGGAAGUAUGAUGAUAUGUUUUUAUUUCUCAAAAAUGAUGUAUUUUUACAUGAAUCAAAGUGUGGUAUUUAUACUACUAAAUUUACCACUAUUACAUAUAUGAAAUUAUUUGUUUUACCACUAAUAAGUAAUUCACACUUACUAUUGUAAGUUGACAUUUUGGAUGUAUAUUUCAACCUAAAUAGUAAGAUAUAAUUAUAGGAUAAUUUCAUGAUUUUGGAUAUAUUUUUUUUUUAUAAUAAAAAUAAUAUUUCUUUUUUUUUGAAAACAUCAAAAUGGAAUUUAUAAACAUAGGCAGUGGAACCAUUUCAGCACAAGAUGUAUUGGAAGGCAACCCCUUAAAAAGAAUAGUAAAACAAUAUUUACAAAAUUACAGUCAGUCGAUACCCAGACAUAACAUAGGGUCCGACCACCACAUCUGAGUGCCAUGCACAAACAAGGCAUUAUUAGCCUGUAACCACCAUAAAGAAUGGAAUUUAAUCUUUUCAAAUAAUAUUUCUUAUAACCAGUUUUUAUAGAUAAACAUUUUACCUUCUUCAAACCCUUAGUCAAGCUCCGUCUAUGUCGCGUCAUCACUAUGAAGUUUAUCGGAAUGCUUUCCUCUUUCAAUGUCAUGUUACUAAAAUGCCAAGAACCGAAGUUUUGAUGGCAAUCGACCAUAGAGCAGCUAGAUCUAGGAUUUGCUACUCUAACCAAAAACUUACUGAACCUACUGAUUUGUUCGAGUAAGCUUUCAUGUUUUUCAUUUUUUUUUUAUCAAAUUAGCUUAGAUCUUUGGACCGACCUGAUUCUCAAUGGAUAUUCAUUUUAUACUUUAUUUGUUUGCUAUUACACCACUUUAUAACAUUUUUAAGAUCUAAAAUAUUAAAUGUUUCAAUAUGAAAUCCCAUUUUCUUCACCACAAAGUCUAUAUAUGAGAUACAUAGAGCAAAAGUUUAUAUAUAUCGCUCCUCAAAGUGGUGUAAUAACUCACAAACACUAAAUACAUUCCAUAUGUUUUUUUUUUAUUAUUACAAGACCCUAUAAUAACUAGUUAUAAUUAUAAAUUUGUAAAAAUAGUUUAACUUUCAUGUAUUGUUUACAAAUCACAACCAAUCAUCUAUGACCUUAAAAAACGGUUAUAAUAAAAGUCAAAAUAUUUUAUAGUCAUCUAACCAUUGUGUUCAAUUACGAGUGUAAAAGUUCUUUACACAAGACAAUGUUUAAGAAUGAAAUCUUCGUGAAAUAUGUUACUUUUCCAUAAUCACCUCUACAAUUCAUUAUAUCAUAUUCAUAGAAAAUAAAUUAACGUUUUUCAAUUGUAAGUUAUAUAUGAAUAUUAUUGUAAAGAAAUUAUUAAUACAUUUAAAAGUUUUGUAAAAAAUAUUUUUGUAAAGAGACAAAGAAAUAUGAAAAGAUGGUCUUAUAAUUAUUGAGUGAGGAAGUAGUCUUUUCUAAACAGAAUUAAUUGUCUAACAAAGGAAAUCAACUAGAGUAUUUAUUCACCAAAAAACCAUAAUAAAAUAUGUAAUAAUUAGUUAAACAACUAAUAAUCACUUGAGAACCAAAUUCACAUGACAAUAAUAUAAUUAUAUAUAUUACAUAUUCAAUCUUUUUUAAUCCUUCAAUAUGUGUUAGAAUAAGGGGUAAAGUAAUAAUAACAAUAAUAGCCACUCUAGUAUAUGAUAAUUCAAUAUGAUAUUCAUUUAUUUAUACUCUUAUUUUAAUUCUUCUUUUCCAUACCAUUUAUUAAUUUUGUCAAACAUCUAAUUAUAUCUAUUUCUUCACUUAUUUUUAUCUUUUUUCUGAUGCAGAUUGACCGUAAUUCUGUUAAAGGUUUGGUCAUUGGGAUGCCGGGUGGAUAUCCAUCUCUUUUACGUACGUCAACGAGGAUGAAUCCACUAUUCUAGCCGAAACUUGGAUUGAGGAAAUGACAAUGAAAGGGGAGCUCCUACGUCAACGGUGGCAGCCAAGGUUUUUCUCGCGGUUAGUGGAAAAAUUACAGAGUAUUGGUUGUAUCUCCGAAUAAACAUACAUCACUAAUCAUCAUUGAUUUUUUAUUUUUUUUUAAAAGAAACAUAUAGUAUAUUCUUUAAUGAUGCAUGUUUUAAGAUGUAACAUAUUGAAUGUGUAUGGGAUAAUUGACUUGUGGGUUGAUGUAUCAAAACCUGAAUUGUUUAAAAGGCGGUUCUUGUUUCUUCCUUAUAGUACAAUAUCCCGUUUUAUAAACUUAACAAUUGAACUACUUUAUAAAUAUGAAAUAUCAUACAAAAUAUAUUUGAUUAAUAUUUAUUUUUCAAUUAAGAUAACACUGGUAAAAUUAUGAGGAAAACUAUAAGUUUUAAUCUAUAAACUAUAUGAAUUAGUUUACAUGAAUUAGUUUAUAAAUAAUUAUUAUAAGCUAGUAAAAAUAAAAUAUAAACUCAUGAAAAAAUGAUUGUUACUAAACAUAUCCUUUUAAUUGGAUGAUUUUAUAAGCUAUAAGCUAAUUUAACAUGCUUGUGAAAUAAAACCUAGCCUUUGAAAAUUUUAACAAACAAGAUCUAUUUAUACUUAGUUUAGAUCGAUCAAACCUUGAAAAGUAUGAUCCAAUAAUUCAAUAAUUCACAAGUCAUUGGUGAUCAAAUGAUCAAUAAAAAGUUUGAAAUUUUUGAAUGUUGUGAUAAGUUUAAAAAAAUUAUUGGAGCAAAUAAGAGAAUAUAUAUAAUAAAACGCAGUUCUGCAUGUUCAAAUUAACGAGGACUAUUGUAAUUUUUGUAUUGCAAAAUUUCGAUGAAAAAAAUCAUAAAUUCGAACACUUAUAAUAUAAAAAAAUGUAAUUAUUGAGGUUAACUGUCCUACUAUUAUAUAGCACAUAAAAUUGAAUUUCUUAUUAGUGAUAUUUUAUUUAUUUAUUUUGUUAAGAAUAAGAACCAUGUUUAAGAAAUUUAAACAUUAUUUUUUUUUAUCGAAGGAAAGUUAAGCCCUAAGAAUUCACGAAAAUGAAGGUAGAUUUCAAGGCUCAAAUAGUAUUAAAAAAAAAAAAAUUUACCUAUCAAAGAAGUUCUCACAUAUAUAGCAAGAGUUAAUCUUACAUCUUUGUGAAGCAUGAAUCAACACCUUAUUGAUUGGUUCAACCUCCACUGGUGAAAUUUAAUUCUUCUUUGAUUUUAUUAAAUAAGUUCUAAUGAAUUAAAUAUGUUUUAUAUUUUUUCCAAAGUCAUAUGAAUUAACAGAUACCAUCAAAGCACAAGGCGUAUAUUUCUUAAUAUAAAAAAAGUUACCACUCAAAAGUCUGUCCCAAAAACAAAGGAUCAAACACCAUCAAACAACAAGGAUGGUAGCAAAACAAAGCAUAGUUAACAAGACAACAACAAUAAAAACAAAGCCUCAAAACACCUCAAAGGUUACCAUAUAAGUUGUCAAGACACUCUGCUGGAUGAUCACACAAUUGGUUUAAAUUGAAACAAAAAUCUAUCCAGGUGCUUCAACCACCACCGAAACAAGAAUUUAACAUGAUCCAUAAAUAAUGCAACAUUUUUUCUCAUUCCUAGGUCAGAACACCAAAUUAUUGUGUGUCUUUCAAACACAUCAAGCCAUCUUUCAUAUAUAAAUUUUGACCUUUCCACCCUUACAAUUUUGCUAGAAUUUUAUUAAUAACUAGGUUCCAAAAAGCUAUCCUCUCCUGAUAUUUCCAUCCAUAUAUUCAAAUGUAGCUUGGCCACAUUUGCCCUUAAGCACUUGUUGCUUCGUCCAACCAAGUUUCAUUCACAUUGACUCCAACUAAAAAAACAUUUAUGGAAGAUCACUUUUAAAGCAUGUCAUCUCAAAAAAAGCUCUAAUAUUUGCCUAUGACUUCUCUUCCUUCAAACUCAUAUCAUCAACAUAUUGGGUAUGUAUUAAUUUGAACUCAUCAUUAUUUCCAACCUGAACUUUAUCAAUACAUGUCAUAAGUAGAAAAUUGAGACCUUCAACAAUAAGAAAAAAUAAAAAAGGUAAAAAGGAAUCACCUUACCCCAGCCCCCAACUCGUUUUAACAAAAAUUGUAAUAUUGAUUGUGUCAAAACACUCCAUAAUUCAUCAUCUCCCAAAUCUAUAUAUAUAUAUAGUUCUCAAAAAGGGUCUGUAAGACUCGACUCGUAAUCUCGUACGAGUUAUGGAAAAUUAAAAAUGAUAUUAAAAUUUCUAUAUGUGACACAUAAAUGACAAAUAUAUAUAUAUAUAUAUAUAUAUAUAUAUAUAUAUAUAUAUAUAUAUAUAUAACAAAAAAUCUCUAUAAUAGAUUUUUUGUAAAAGUAAGUUUGUAAGUAAGUAGGUAAGGUUCUAGUUCCUUCCCAAUUGGCUACUACAUUAAAUAAAAAAAAAACAUAAAACAUAUAUGAUAAUGUCUUCAAACAUCUAAAGCUCCAAUGUAAUCUUGUCAAUAAUCAAAAUCACCACCACCAUCGUCAUCAUCAUGGUCGCCAUAUCAUAUCAUCUUCACUAGCAUCAUGACCAUCAUUGUCAACAUCAUCAUCAAAUUCUACCCCGGACGAAACACAUUGAACAAGGAAACGGUUACAUGAAAAGGAAGUAAGUGAACGUCGUCGAUGAAAACAAAAAAGCAAGUGAUUUAUGAAAUACAAACUUGAGAGAACGUCGAUGGUGAAGUGUUCGCCGACUAUAGAGGUGAGAUUGGACAUCGUCGUUGAGAGAGAGUAGAUUUUCGUUUCUAAAUUGAGUGUGAGAGAAAGUAACCUUUCGUUUCUAGGGUUAUAAGAUUCUACGUUUUUUCUAUUCACAUUUUUUGUUUGAUUUGAAAUUUGGGACGUAUUUUGGACUUUUUAAAAGAAAAAAUUGCUUUUUUAAAAAAGUUCAUGGGCUCGAUAAAAUCGUCCUAGACUCACGAGUCUAUGUGAGUUGGUACGAGUCUACAUGCGUCUACCACAAAAGCGAUUCUAUGUGCGAGUCUACUUGUUUUUAUCAGAUAGACUCGUAAACUCGUAUAAACUCGCGAGUCUACUCGGAAGUUGACUACCAUGUUUAUAAGAACUCAUAAACACUAAAUAUACUCCAUGUUUUUUUUUACAAAACCCUAUAAUAACUAGUUAUAACUAUAAAUUUGUAAAAAGUAAAAAUAGUUUAACUUUCAUGUAUUGUUUACACAUCACAACCAAUCGUGCAGGUGAGUUUAGAAAACGUUUAUAAUAAAGUCAAUUGUUCCUGUCAUCUGACCAUCUUGUUGAAUUAAUUUUGUAAAAAAUAUUUAUCGACAAUGUAUAAGAAUGAAGUCUUUGUAAAAUGGUUUUUUUUAGAAUACCUUUGAAAAAUGGUGGGUAAUUUACCCACCAACCAAUGAAAAUGAGCAAUUUACGCACCAUAAAAUAUGUUACUUUUCCAUAAUCACCUCUACAAUUAAUUAUAUCAUAUUCAUAUGAAUUAAAUUAACGUUUUUCAAUUGUAAGUUAAAUAUGAAUAUUUUUGUAAAGAAAUUGUUAAUACAUUUUUUUUGUAAAGAAAUUGUCAAUACAUUUAAAAUUUUGUAAAAAGUAUCUUGUAAAGAGACAAAGAAAUAUGAAAGGAUGGUCUUACAAUUAUUGACCGAGGAAGUAGUCUUUCUCAACAUAAUUAACUGUCUAGCAAAGGAAAUCAAUUAGUGUAUAAAUUCACCAAAAAACCAUAUUACGAUAUUUAAGAAUUAGCUAAACAGCUAAUAAUCACUUGAGAACUACACCAUAAAAAAAUUACUUGAAACCAAAUUCACUAUAAUUUUAUAUUAUAUAUUCAAACUUUUUUUAAUCCAUCAACAUGUGUUGGGUCUAGUAGAAAUGUUUAUUUUUUACAAGACGUAGUAGAAAUGUUAUGCUGCCACAACAUUGCGAAUCAAAGUUCAAACUUAGGAUGGAAAAAUUGAAAUCUAUCCCCAAGAAGAUCGACACAACCAAAUUAUUACAAGAGCAUUAAUGUUAUAUAAUGCGACAUGCACUCCAACAAAAUUUGGCGAAGUAAGAAACCACUUACUAUAUACAUGGCUAAGGUGGUAAUAAAGAAAAUAGGUGAAGAAUAAAAAUGGUAUUCACUCAAAUACUAACCACUAAUUUACAUGCUUAGUCGUUUUUCGUCGGCACAUUUUUGCAGCACAAAGCAAUUUCCUUAUUACAAUAAGAAAUACACCACUCAACCUGAUCCACUAUAUGAGAAUAAGAAUAACACAUUUAAUAUUACAUUCGUACUAUAAACAACUCAUGUCUCUUAUUUAAGAACUGUCUAGUGUAGAAGUAAUUUAAUUGACAUAUGUACUACAUUAUGUCAACAUAAUGUCAUGCAAACCAUCAUAUUGUCAAUUCUUUAUCCA